This 68-nucleotide transfer RNA is filed under the name Ablepharus himalayanus (Himalaya ground skink). Its description in RNAcentral is "tRNA-Ser". The record is from RNAcentral. Lineage: Eukaryota; Metazoa; Chordata; Lepidosauria; Squamata; Scincidae.
GAAGGGUGUUUAAAUAUACAAAGAAUUGCUAAUUCCACGCCCUGAGGUUAAAUUCCCCAGACUCUUCA